This 490-nucleotide ribosomal RNA is filed under the name uncultured bacterium. RNAcentral describes it as "partial 16S ribosomal RNA". It matches the Rfam family "Bacterial small subunit ribosomal RNA", at positions 30 to 507 of the family's 1533-position model. The record is from RNAcentral.
AUUGAACGCUGGCGGCAGGCCUAACACAUGCAAGUCGAACGGUAACAGGAAGACGCUUGCUUCUUUGCUGACGAGUGGCGGACGGGUGAGUAAUGUCUGGGAAACUGCCUGAUGGAGGGGGAUAACUACUGGAAACGGUAGCUAAUACCGCAUAAUGUCGCAAGACCAAAGAGGGGGACCUUCGGGCCUCUUGCCAUCGGAUGUGCCCAGAUGGGAUUAGCUAGUAGGUGGGGUAACGGCUCACCUAGGCGACGAUCCCUAGCUGGUCUGAGAGGAUGACCAGCCACACUGGAACUGAGACACGGUCCAGACUCCUACGGGAGGCAGCAGUGGGGAAUAUUGCACAAUGGGCGCAAGCCUGAUGCAGCUAUGCCGCGUGUAUGAAGAAGGCCUUCGGGUUGUAAAGUACUUUCAGCGGGGAGAAAGGGAGUAAAGUUAAUACCUUUGCUCAUUGACGUUACCCGCAGAAGAAGCACCGGCUAACUCCGUG